This 921-nucleotide ribosomal RNA is filed under the name uncultured bacterium. RNAcentral describes it as "bacterial SSU rRNA". It matches the Rfam family "Bacterial small subunit ribosomal RNA", at positions 8 to 882 of the family's 1533-position model. The record is from RNAcentral.
AGAGUUUGAUCCUGGCUUCAGGGAUGAACGCUGGCGGCGUGCCUAAUACAUGCAAGUCGAACGCUUUGUCUUUAAUUGAUCUUGACGAGCUUGCUCUGAUGUGAUUUUAUCUGACAAAGAGUGGCGAACGGGUGAGUAACACGUGGGUAACCUACCUCUUAGCAGGGGAUAACAUUUGGAAACAAGUGCUAAUACCGUGUAAUACCAACAACCGCAUGGUUGUUGGUUGAAAGAUGGUUCUGCUAUCACUAAGAGAUGGACCCGCGGUGCAUUAGCUAGUUGGUAAGGUAAUGGCUUACCAAGGCAAUGAUGCAUAGCCGAGUUGAGAGACUGAUCGGCCACAAUGGGACUGAGACACGGCCCAUACUCCUACGGGAGGCAGCAGUAGGGAACCUUCCACAAUGGGCGCAAGCCUGAUGGAGCAACGCCGCGUGUGUGAUGAAGGGUUUCGGCUCGUAAAACACUGUUAUAAGAGAAGAACGGCACUGAGAGUAACUGUUCAGUGUGUGACGGUAUCUUACCAGAAAGGAACGGCUAAAUACGUGCCAGCAGCCGCGGUAAUACGUAUGUUCCAAGCGUUAUCCGGAUUUAUUGGGCGUAAAGCGAGCGCAGACGGUUAUUUAAGUCUGAAGUGAAAGCCCUCAGCUCAACUGAGGAAUGGCUUUGGAAACUGGAUGACUUGAGUGCAGUAGAGGAAAGUGGAACUCCAUGUGUAGCGGUGAAAUGCGUAGAUAUAUGGAAGAACACCAGUGGCGAAGGCGGCUUUCUGGACUGUAACUGACGUUGAGGCUCGAAAGUGUGGGUAGCAAACAGGAUUAGAUACCCUGGUAGUCCACACCGUAAACGAUGAGUGCUAGAUGUUCGAGGGUUUCCGCCCUUGAGUGUCGCAGCUAAUGCAUUAAGCACUCCGCCUGGGGAGUA